AAGAAAAAAGGUCAACAACAUCACCACAAUCACGAACCCUAAACAAACAGAGGUUGACGCUGGAUACCGAAGAACAAGAAGAGGCGAGAAAUCUACCGGAUCGGGAUAUUUUGGAGACGAAUGAAUAGGUAUACGAUCUCUUAUACUUCUUGCUUCUUCGAUCUUUGGGAGUGGAUUUCGAAAACAGGGCCACCAGUAGUACCACUGUCUUCUUU
RNAcentral lists this long non-coding RNA (215 nucleotides) under Lathyrus oleraceus (garden pea). RNAcentral describes it as "Pisum sativum (pea) long non-coding RNA (PSAT_LNC008895)". The record is from RNAcentral. Lineage: Eukaryota; Viridiplantae; Streptophyta; Magnoliopsida; Fabales; Fabaceae.